UGCCACUUAUGAGUGAGAAAUACUGUGACAGGAAGCCGGAUAGAGGAGAUGAAGUGAGACCAGGUGUCACUGUGGUCUCUCCCUGCAGGUGGCCUCCUGCUGAGGCUGAUGUGCAGGAGAGCUCUGCUCAGGAGAAGUGGGAGGGUCUUCACAGCCGGCUGCUGGCUCUGGAGGAGAGCUGGCUGCUCCCUCCCUCUGAGGUGACAGACUCAUCUAUGAGGCGUAGUGAUGGAACAGCAGGAAGCAUAAUUGGCACACAAACCCUGAAAGAGCUCCAAACUCACAUCCUCCACCUGAGAGAGGUGGGACUCGCAGCGACGGAGCCUUUGGUUCAGGCCUCCCCUGAGGACGCCUCCCCUGAGGACGCCUCCCCUGAGGACGCCUCCCCUGAGGACGCCUCCCAUCAGACGCUGGACGAGCGUUUGUUUCAUGUGCUGCAUGGAGCGUCCCUGUCCCUGUCCUCCAUCAACCACCUGCUGCACUCGCCUGCUGGGACGACACAUGGAG
RNAcentral lists this long non-coding RNA (507 nucleotides) under Cottoperca gobio. RNAcentral's name for it is "lncRNA (ENSCGOG00000019307.1)". The record is from RNAcentral. Lineage: Eukaryota; Metazoa; Chordata; Actinopteri; Perciformes; Bovichtidae.